CCACUUUCUUCCUCCCCUUCCCCAAACAGUGCUGUUAACUAUGGAGUCAGGUCUGACUGGAUUGAAAGGUUCUUUAGGUUCUACACCAAGACCAUGCUGCUCUAGAGGGAUGCAUCAUACUUGGUAGACAUCUUGAUAGAAUCUACUCUUAGAUAUCAGGUAAGGAAUAUAAUGAACAUUUUAGGGCAGAUAGAAGCUUAGAAAAUAAUGCAAUACAAUUAUGGCCAGAAUUGGAUGGAAUUCAACUACAUUAAAAAGUAGGAAGUUUAGUAAAGUAUAGAAGCAGCAUCAAAACUGGAGGUUCGUGGAAUGAUUUGACAGAGGUACUCAUGAGAGGUAAGGAACUGAAUAACAGGCUUCAGAGAUUUGAUGUCAAUGAAUAGAUUGGAGGUUCAAGAAAGGCAAAUGAAGUAAAUCUCCUUUGUCAUAUUCAUGGUCUACAUGAUUAUAUAUGAAAUUUAAGUUCAACCAUAUUUUCAUUUCUCCUUUAUUACUAUUCACACAAAUUAUAAGGUGGGAGACAAUUAUGUGAUAUUCCAAC
This 541-nucleotide long non-coding RNA is filed under the name Monodelphis domestica (gray short-tailed opossum). RNAcentral's name for it is "lncRNA (ENSMODG00000045580.1)". The record is from RNAcentral. Lineage: Eukaryota; Metazoa; Chordata; Mammalia; Didelphimorphia; Didelphidae.